Molecule: ribosomal RNA, 253 nt
Filed under: uncultured prokaryote
Description: partial 16S ribosomal RNA
Rfam family: Bacterial small subunit ribosomal RNA
Source: RNAcentral
ACAGAGGUCCCGAGCGUUGUUCGGAUUCACUGGGCGUAAAGGGUGCGUAGGUGGUCGGGUAAGUCCGGUGUGAAAUCUCGGAGCUCAACUCCGAAACUGCAUUGGAUACUAUUCGGCUAGAGGGUUGGAGGGGGGACUGGAAUUCUCGGUGUAGCAGUGAAAUGCGUAGAUAUCGAGAGGAACACCAGUGGCGAAGGCGAGUCCCUGGACAACUCCUGACGCUGAGGCACGAUAGCUAGGGGAGCAAACAGGA